Molecule: ribosomal RNA, 223 nt
Filed under: Pholiota spumosa
Lineage: Eukaryota; Fungi; Basidiomycota; Agaricomycetes; Agaricales; Strophariaceae
Description: 5.8S ribosomal RNA
Rfam family: 5.8S ribosomal RNA (bases 1-134)
About the family: 5.8S ribosomal RNA (5.8S rRNA) is a component of the large subunit of the eukaryotic ribosome. It is transcribed by RNA polymerase I as part of the 45S precursor that also contains 18S and 28S rRNA.
Source: RNAcentral
UUGGCUCUCGCAUCGAUGAAGAACGCAGCGAAAUGCGAUAAGUAAUGUGAAUUGCAGAAUUCAGUGAAUCAUCGAAUCUUUGAACGCACCUUGCGCUCCUUGGUAUUCCGAGGAGCAUGCCUGUUUGAGUGUCAUUAAAUUCUCAACCUUAUCAGCUUUUGUUGAUAAUGGCUUGGAUGUGGGGGUUACUUUGCUGGUUUCUUUAAUGAGAUCAGCUCCCCUU